This 209-nucleotide non-coding RNA is filed under the name Bacteroides uniformis. Lineage: Bacteria; Pseudomonadati; Bacteroidota; Bacteroidia; Bacteroidales; Bacteroidaceae. The record is from RNAcentral.
ACCUUUGCCCGCAGUUUUGGUUUCACCUCUCCCGAUUCCGUUGGAGAAGAGUGAUGAAAAAGGGAAUCAGGUGCAAGUCCUGAACAGACCCGCUGCUGUAAAUCCUUUCAAAAUCUUUGAAUAUUCUAUAAGUCACUGUCCAGUAUCCGGGAUGGGAAGGCAUUCAAAGAGGGAUGAGUCAGAAGACCUGCCAAGACAACAUAGUUUUA